This is a long non-coding RNA of Pezoporus occidentalis (night parrot), 842 nucleotides long. RefSeq lists it as uncharacterized. Lineage: Eukaryota; Metazoa; Chordata; Aves; Psittaciformes; Psittacidae. The record is from RefSeq and is a predicted model, not a curated record. The transcript has 3 exons.
UUGAUGUAUUUCUAAUAAACAGAUGUUAAAAUGGAGGAGUACUGUGCAGCUCUCCUGCUGCACAUUAACUUGGUGACAGACGCGUGAACAUGGCGUGGGGUGCACAGCGUGUCACCCUUGGCACCUUGAGCCUGUAUAAUUGGUAAGGGAAAGCCUGUUGCGAUGCAUGAGCACUCAAGAAUAUGAAGAUAUAAAAGACCAUGUGUCUUGACGUGUGACCUGUUAACAUUAGUUAACAGGAAUGAUGCAGCUAAUGAGAGCUGGUGUUUGGAAAUGUAUUGCUAAAGGCACCUUGGUCUGUCCCAGCUGAGGCAGCUUGAAGAGGAAGCUGAACCAAAUAGUGUAACUACUGCUGCAAGCACUGACUGCUCCUUUCCUGAUACAAACCAACAAAAAUCCCUCUGACAUCACUGAAGACACCUUAGAUAAGAAUGUUGUAACAUGGAAAGAUGAGGAGCACGCAUGCAAAACCACACAAGAGAUGUCUCUGGAUUGGGGGCACAACUGGAAAGCCAACUGUGUUUUGUCCUGUGAACAGCAGAAUCAAGGACAACCCUGCUGUGACAUGCUGGCAUGCCAAGAAGUACAAAACACAUUCUUCAGAAGCAGGUUCUCUCUCCUUCAUUGCUAAAGCUCAAGAAAUACUUAAGAAAAAUCACACUGUGCAAAUGUUUAUUAGGCAGGCCAUGCUGCUCAUGAGGGUUUGCAAAACUGCUGUUCUGAACCCUACAAAGGAAUUGUUUUUUCAGUAAACAGGAGCAAAGGCAGUCACAAAAAGUGUGCAUAUAAAGCGAGCCAAAGAGAAUCAGCUACUGCCUGCGCAUCUAUUGCUUGUGUAGGGA